GGGGAUGAUAGGCCUCGAGAGGAAGGACUUUGAGAUGACGUUCAGGCGCUCCACCGCGGUGGAGCUAAAUAUCACCCGCGGGAAACUAUAAGUGCAAACUUAUUUGGAACCAGAGAGCCUGCAUUAGCAGUAGCUUAAUGGCCACACUUCCGACUUAGUCGGGAGCAUCCGUCCUUGAUUCUCGCUAAAGGAUCACGGGUGUCAUAAGCGGGAAAACUUCCCUGAAAGUUAAGUCAGGAUUCGAAUUUUAAGCCUGUCAACCGUCUCUCGAAAGCUUUCUCCACGCGGGUUCAAUUCCCGCCAUCUCCACUG
RNAcentral lists this transfer-messenger RNA (312 nucleotides) under Candidatus Giovannonibacteria bacterium RIFCSPLOWO2_01_FULL_46_13. It matches the Rfam family "transfer-messenger RNA". Rfam says of the family: Bacterial tmRNA, also known as 10Sa RNA or SsrA, is named for its dual tRNA and mRNA-like properties. Lineage: Bacteria; Candidatus Giovannoniibacteriota. RNAcentral also lists the same sequence under 1 other name. The record is from RNAcentral.